AUUAAUGGCGCAGCUUUUUGAGCAAGCGUCUCGGAAGAGUGGCGAGGGCUUGGCGGGCGAAUGAGGUGAUAAAAGCAACCCCCCGAGAAACGGGUCUCCCGGUUUUUUAUCGAGCUGCACCUCGCUUGAGGAACGGGCGACGUUUGAGUCCUGCCAUGGAUAUCAAGGCAGUGUUUGUGUUUGCCCUGUCGGCAGUACUGGCAGACGUCGCACAUGGCGUGUGUCGGCGACCCCCGAUCUGCAGUGGGCCCUGUCAGCUCGGUCUGUCGCUCCCUGGAUAUUGCGGAAUCUGUGUGUGCGAUACGCAGUGCCCCAUCUGUCCUUCUCGGUGCUACUACCGAAGAGCAGGAAGGUGUCCUGCCUGCGCACCGGCUAGCAUGUGCUACAAGUAGAGACGUCGUCGGAGUUGUGAGACUGAGAACUCAAUAAAAUGAUCCCUUGUCUGUGUU
Long non-coding RNA from Dermacentor albipictus, 449 nucleotides. RefSeq lists it as uncharacterized. The record is from RefSeq and is a predicted model, not a curated record. NCBI's taxonomy places the organism in Eukaryota, Metazoa, Arthropoda, Arachnida, Ixodida, Ixodidae.